UAAAUUAUCUCCUCGCUCUUUCUUGUUUUUUCUUAUAAUAGAAACAUUUUCCUUCCAUCAGGAAUUUCUGGCACGGUGUAGGGAUGAUUUAGAACAAGCCAUUGAAUUUCUAUCUCACCGGCCAACCAAGGCUGUGUUCAACUGCAGAAUGAGUUGCAGGGUGAGCUUUGUUCAGGAUUUCUCCACUGCCCAUUAACACCAGAAAGUUUCAGCUCUUCCUCCGGAUGCCUCCUCAGGACCUCCUGGAUCCCUUCUCCAAAGAAAAACCUUGUUUGUUUAAUGAAGGAAAGUUGGAGUACGGAGAAGCCAAUAGGAUGCGGGGUCUCUAAUGGAUGCAAAUGAUCAUGAAAAGACAGUGCAAAAUAUGAAACAACUCAUUUGCAGGGAAGUAAAUCACCGAAAACUGUUUAUGAACUGGCAUCCCUUCUUCGAAAUGUAAAGCGAGGACCUCUUUAAGUGGCUGUAUAUUUUUGUGUGGGGGGUGGGGGGGGGGGGGGGGGGGCCCGGCCCCCACGGCUCCCCAUCGACCU
RNAcentral lists this long non-coding RNA (530 nucleotides) under Ovis aries (sheep). RNAcentral's name for it is "lncRNA (ENSOARG00000026370.1)". The record is from RNAcentral. Lineage: Eukaryota; Metazoa; Chordata; Mammalia; Artiodactyla; Bovidae.